CCUACGGGAGGCAGCAGUGAGGAAUAUUGGUCAAUGGACGAGAGUCUGAACCAGCCAAGUCGCGUGAAGGAUGACUGCCCUAUGGGUUGUAAACUUCUUUUAUAUGGGAUUAAAAUGUUCCCCGUGUGGGAUUUUGUGUGUACCAUAUGAUUAAGGAUCGGCUAACUCCGUGCCAGCAGCCGCGUUAAUACGGAGGAUCCGAGCUUUAUCCGGAUUUAUUGGGUUUAAAGGGUGCGCAGGCGGAUUUUUAAGUCAGCGGUAAAAUCGUGGGGCUCAACCCCAUCCAGCCGUUGAAACUGGGGAUCGAGAGUGUGCGAGAGGUAUGCGGAAUGCGUGGUGUAGCGGUGAAAUGCAUAGAUAUCACGCAGAACCCCGAUUGCGAAGGCAGCAUACCGGUGCACAACUGACGCUCAGGCACGAAAGCGUGGGUAUCGAACAGGAUUAGAUACCCGAGUAGUC
Molecule: ribosomal RNA, 459 nt
Filed under: uncultured bacterium
Lineage: Bacteria
Description: partial 16S ribosomal RNA
Rfam family: Bacterial small subunit ribosomal RNA
Source: RNAcentral